UGAUUUAAACAUGUCAUAAAAACUGUGCUUUAAAAAAGAGAUCCUAAAGGUGAGAAUGGGAAGUUGUUUCCCUUUUUCCUUCAGUUAUACUUGUUUGUGUGCAUUCUGUUAACUCCCCAUCUGUCCACCUGCAGCUGACCCUAUGGCUGUGUGUCGGGCACCUGUGGAAAUGCCUUGUAACCCAGCGCUGCAAGGGAGUUGCCAGCUGAGCUUUUAAAGCCAGGCAGAAUUUGGAAGUUGAUGUUGCGCUCUCGGUUCCAGCUCCAGAGCAGGCUUGGCAGCAGCUAGUUCAUGUGUUGCUGCACUGUGCUGUGCUGUAUGCACGUCCCUUGUUUCACCUGCAGAUCAGAAAAAGUCAAAAGGUUUGGUCACCCAGUGUAGAAGAAAAGAAAACACCACUACUGGAUUGUCAAGGUAAUCGUUAUACUCUUACGACCUUCUUUUUCUGUGAUCUCUUCCUCUGGGAAUAUUCAUAGCUCCUUUGAUGACUCUUC
This 494-nucleotide long non-coding RNA is filed under the name Struthio camelus australis. RNAcentral's name for it is "lncRNA (ENSSCUG00000011175.1)". Lineage: Eukaryota; Metazoa; Chordata; Aves; Struthioniformes; Struthionidae. The record is from RNAcentral.